Molecule: long non-coding RNA, 3321 nt
Organism: Sarcophilus harrisii (Tasmanian devil)
Lineage: Eukaryota; Metazoa; Chordata; Mammalia; Dasyuromorphia; Dasyuridae
Exons: 2
Source: RefSeq, a predicted model, not a curated record
GCCUUUUUCAGAAAUGACCAAGUUACUCUAACCUGGGUUAGAAGCAAAAAUUGCUUUCUGGCUAGGAUAUAUCUGGGAGCCCUGAAAGAUACUGUCUGUAACAUUGAGUCUUCAUGACCUUUGAUUUCUUCAUUAUAAACCAGGUCCUCCUGUUUUCCCCACAAAGGAAAUGUCUAUGUGCAUUGGGUUGCACACAUAUUAUUGACAUAUACCACACAGUGACAGUAAAUGUUUUAUUUGUUUGAUCAGUUAAGGCAGAACUUUGGCCAGGUGCAUCUUUGGAGCUACAGCAAUAUGGAAUAUGUGUGUGUGCAUAUGUCUGUGAGGAAGGGGGUUUGUCAUUUUGUUUGUUAUGCCACUGAAAUAAAUGUCUUUUGCCUUAAUCUUUGUCUCCAGGAUGACUGGUAAGAAGAACACACCAAUGAGGGCUCACGAAUGCUGGCUGCACUUAUCUUGUGGUGGUUUUUCAUAACUCCACCUAGGAGAAGGUGCAUGAAGUGCUACACUGAAUAGAAUACAGGGAAAGCAAAAUGCUUUUCUAGAACCCAGAUAUUUGAUUUAUUUUCCUUUUACAUCACUUUCAUUUACAAGUAUAUAUUUACCCUUCCCCAACUUAGAAUUUCCCUUAUUGUUAAACAGUUUAAAAAAUAGACAAAGCAAUUAGUGUAUUACUACCAGCACUGAAAACCUGUCAUCAGCAACAUAUUCAACAGCUGCUUGUGUUUUAGGUGAUGGGGACCAAAAAGGUAAAAACACAGCACCUUGUCCUCAAGAACCUCAUGAUCGAAUGAGGAAAACAGUGGGCUAGCAAUUAUAAACAAGGUACAUGCAGGGUAAAUUGGAGAUGAUGUUAGAAGAAAGAUCCUCGCAGUGGAGGGAACUGAGGAAGGCUUCUUGCAGGAGGUGGGAUUUGCAGUAUUCAGGGGAACAAGGAGGUGAAGGUGAGGAGGGAGAACAUUUUAGGCAAAGGUAUGGAGUUGGGCAAGGGAGGAUCAAGAUUGAGGAACAGAUAGACAGCAGUGUCCCUGGAUCAUCAGAGGGAUAUACAAUGUAGGAAGACUAGAAAGCUGAGUGAGGUUGUGAAGAGGUUUCAAAAACAAUGAGAGUCAGGUAGAUGGUGCACUGGAUAGAGCUCUGGCCCUGGGGUCAGAGGACCUGAGUUCAAAUGUGAUCCCAGAUGCUUCCUGGCUGUGGGACAACAAGUGAGUCACAACCUGAAUUAUCUCAUUCAACCAAAAGAACAAGAUAGAGAGACUUAAAGAUAUGAUCCUGGAGUUAAUGGAGCCUCAUUGAAACUUUCUGACUAGGGAGAGCAACAUCAUUAAACUUUCCUGUGAGAUAGAUGACCUUGGCUGGUGGGUGAAGGAUGAACUGGAGUUAAGGGUGCUUGAAGUAGGAAGAUGACUCAGCAGGCUAUUGGGACAACCAGGUGUGAAGUGAUAAAGGCCCAGAGAAGUUAGGAGUCAAGCCCCAUAGAACUUGGUAAUAGGUUGGCUAUUGGGGUGGUGGUGAAGGAGAGUGAGCAGUUGAGAAUGAAGUCCAAGCUGUAAGUGAGGAUGGGUGUGCUCUCAACUUCCUUAAUAGGGAAUUUAGGAGGGAGUGGUGGUGAAGAAUUUGGGAUGCUGAAUUUGAAACAGCUGGACUGGCCCAGUUGAAGAUGUUUAAUAGACAGCUGGUUCUCAAGACUAGAGGCUGGGAAAGAGAUUAAUGCUAGAUAAAUGAAUUUGAAGAUCAUCUUUAUAGAGAUGACAAAUCUUCAAAUGAGAUAGUACAGAGGAAGAAAGGAGGGCUCACGAUGGCCCCUUUAGGAAUUAGUGGGCACUCCAACAAAGGAGAGAGGGAAGAGGGAAAUCGGGAGAAAGCACCCUGAAAACCUAGAGAGAAGAGAUCUCAGAAGUGGGUAAUUCACAUGGCAAAGGCUAUGGAGAGGUCAAGAAAGAGGAGGAUUUAAAAAUUGUGCUGGACUCUGAUUUAAAUGCAUGGCAGCUAGGUGGCUGAGUGAGUGGCUCUUUUGAGUCUGGAAGUUCUGAGUUUUUGAAUCCUAUUUUAAUAGCUGUGGGACUAUAAUGCUUAGCCUCAGUUUCCUUAUCUUUAAAAUGCUAAUGACAGCACCUAUGGGGAUGUUCAAAUGAAGGAUUAGAUAAACUCUCUGCAAUCUUGAAUCAUUGUAUAUAGAAAUGCUAACUGUCAUAUUUUUGUGGGUAUUUUAGCACUGGAGGAACUUGAGGAAACUUUUUUUUUCAAGUUUGUUUUAUUUAAAGAAAGAAUAAGCAAAAAGAAAAACAGAAAAACAAAAGAACAUUGCCCAGCAGAACAUCAGGGAGGAUUCAAAAUAUAUAACAACUCUUGAAGUCCAGCUCUAAUGAAUAUCAAGAGCGUGCCUGGGUAGGAAUAAUAUCCAUGAGUCAGGCAGAAAGAUUUGCUUAGCAGUUUUCAUUUAUUAUGGCGGUUAAGCUAGUGUUGCAUUAAUGCCAGCUACCUCUAGGUGGCACUAUGUACAUUCGAGGGUUAAUGUAUAGACUGUAGUUUUGCCAUUUCAGUUUGACAUUAACUAGCAAUAACAAUGUAUCAUAACAGUCGUAAAUAGCGAUAACAGACAAUACAAUGUGUCUAUCAUAACAGUUCCAAAUAGUAGCAACAAUUACAAUGAAUCAUAACAGUUGUAAAGAGCAGUAACUGAUAACAAUGUGUUUAUCACAGCAGUCACAAAGAGCAUAGUUGUGCAUUCUUCAUCAAGAUUACCCUGAACUUAUCUCAAACAUGUCAUUCAUUCAUUGUUAAGGGAGAAGAUGAGCCUAUGCUUUGAACUGUGUGCCCAUAGAGAGAGCAGGGCUCAAGUAAAACCUGGACCAGGCUCUUCCUGUACAUGGAUUUCUUCAAUCCUGGCCUUCUACAUUCCCCACCCCCCCCUUUUUUUUUUUAUUCAGAAGGUGAAGCAUGUGAACUUCAGUUCCCGUAGCUGACAAUGAUUGAAAAACAUACCAGAAAGCACAAGGGACUAAGUCUUAUAAGAAUGACCCAUGCAAGGGGAGCAAAAUGCAAAAGCACAGAAGUCAGAUUAAUUGCAGGAUUUAUCUUUUUAACCCCUUAAACAUUUGGUUUGCUAUGCUAUCAGGACCAAUCCCAGGGACGCUUCUUUCUGCCAUGUUUUCUGCAAAAGCAGCUAACUGAGAUAUAUCCCAGUCUGUUCACCUGCUGACCUGUACCAAUUGUGAUUAAUCUUAGUAGGCACCAUGACUUAGGAUGGCUGUUCAAUAAGAAGAACCAAAGGCAAUGAAUUAGAUGUAAGAAACUGGAAUAAAACACAAUUGUAACAUUUUA